RNAcentral lists this ribosomal RNA (570 nucleotides) under uncultured fungus. RNAcentral's name for it is "eukaryotic LSU rRNA". The stretch from base 228 to 381 matches the Rfam family "5.8S ribosomal RNA". The record is from RNAcentral. Lineage: Eukaryota; Fungi.
AAGUCGUACCAAGGUUUCCGGUUUGGUGAACAAGCGAAGGGAUCAUNACAGAGUUGCAAAANUCCCACAAACCAUCGCNAAUCUUACCCGUACGGUUGCNUAGGCGCUGGCGGUCCGAAAGGCCCUCGGGCCCUGGGGCCGCUGCCUCCCUCGGGGGGUGCCCGCCGGCGUACNAAAACUCUUUUGUAUUUUAGUGGCCUCUCUGAGAAANCAAGCAAAUAAGUUAAAACUUUCAACAACGGAUCUCUUGGUUCUGGCAUCGAUGAAGAACGCAGCGAAAUGCGAUAAGUAAUGUGAAUUGCANAAUUCAGUGAAUCAUCGAAUCUUUGAACGCACAUUGCGCCCCUUGGUAUUCCGGGGGGCAUGCCUGUUCGAGCGUCAUAUAAACCCUCAAGCUUAGCUUGGUGUUGGGGCCUGCUGUUAACAGCAGCCCUUAAAAGCAGUGGCGGUGCCGUCUGGCUCUAAGCGUAGUAAUUCUUCUCGCUCCAGGGUCCUGGUGGAUGCUUGCCAACAACCCCUAAUUCUCUAUGGUUGACCUCGGAUCAGGUAGGGAUACCCGCUGAACUUAAC